AUUGGCCGGUGGUCAUACCCAGAAAUCGGAGGUGCUGGCGCACCCCGACCAGCCUGUUAGCCAUAUUGUUUGGGAGUUAGGAUCCUUUAAAGGUUCAAGUCCAGACAUGAGCAGCAAUUUGGAUGUUGCCAUGUUCUGAACUUUAACUCAAACACAUAGAAGGGAAUAGGGGUAUAUGGAUUCACAGCAAAAACAUAUGGAAAGAGAAUAACAUACAUAUUUAACAUUGAGCAUAGACAGCAAAGUAGACAGGAUUGUAGAAGCUAUAAAAUAAACAAAUUGGGAUGAGGCUGAAUACGAAAUUAGAACAUACCAAUUUAGGGAAACAAGAGAAAGAAAAAAGUAGUCUUGUAAAGCCAAAUUGCAAGUAAAUAGUCAGGAUGUUAUGAUUAAAAAACUAUGAUACUUGAAUGGCGUAAAAUAUUAAAUUGAAAAGCUGUAUAACCGAAAGUGUCUGAAAAGUGUCGAAUUCAAGGUGUGUGAAAGUAUUGAAUUGAAAGUUGUUUGAUCGUGUUGACUGUUUUUCAUUUAUUAAAGAAGGCCAUUUAUUAAUAAUGUAGAAAUCAAGUAGAAAUAGGUAAGAAAACAGUUUGGAAAUCAAUUUCACAAUGUUUUCCUUUAAUUAGGGGAUUCUGAUUUCAAACAUGUAAAAAUAAUUAAGGAAAGAGACCAAUCAAACACCUUUUAAAGCAGUACAAAAGGGCUAAAUACAUAAAGGUAUAAUGAAGGAAAAGUCUUGACAGUACACGAUUUGUGCAAAUAAGGAAAGGGAAUCUAUUAAACAGCCAGUAAAUUCCAAGGUUUGAAUUUUGUAUGGAUGAAUCCAGUCAGAAAAGGUGGAGAAAGGUUUUACUUAAGAAAAAAUCAGUAACAAUUAAUCAAACCUAAGGAAAAGGAUUCUGUAAUCAUAAGAUGGAAACCUUUUCGAAAGAAAGAAUUGGUCACACAUAUAAAAACAUACAGCCAUGCUCAAGCACGAAGAACUGUCAUACUAAUCAAUAGAAGAGUCUAGCAUAGAAAAAGUUUAGAGUCAUAAACAAAGAAGUCCAAGCUCAGUUUAUAGACUCAGAACGAGUCUGAGAGAGUCCAUGGUUCCCAAAAUAGAACCCUAGUCCAAACACAAGAUCAAAACUCGCCAAAACCCCAAAUCCUAGGGUUUUCAACUCGAAUGAGAUUCAGAGACGAGGAGACAAAUAAUUGAAACAGGCUCAGAGUUCUCUUUCAGAGACUUAUGAGAAAACAACAAAUACAAGGUCUGAUCUAGUCGGAUGAGUCAAAACCAGGCUCGAAAUGCUUAAGAUACGUCGGAGCUAGGCCGCAGAAGCCAUAGAAACUUGAAUCGGAGAAGAUCUGAAUGGACACCAUCAAGGUCAGACCUCGAAACUUCAAACACCAAGAGUUUAAGAGUGGAGGGAGGUGAGUAUAGGCGAUACAUGCCUGAGAGGCCAUGGAUUCUGGUGAGAUUGAGGUUGAAGAUGGUGAGAGAGGCUAGGGUUUCAAGAACCUUUAAGAGAGAUUGAGAGAGGAAAAGCAUUCAAGUGCGGCUGAUAGAACAAAAUGAGUUAGGGUUAGAGG
This 1575-nucleotide long non-coding RNA is filed under the name Nicotiana benthamiana. RNAcentral describes it as "long non-coding RNA (NBEN_LNC031994)". Lineage: Eukaryota; Viridiplantae; Streptophyta; Magnoliopsida; Solanales; Solanaceae. The record is from RNAcentral.